Molecule: long non-coding RNA, 689 nt
Organism: Homo sapiens (human)
Lineage: Eukaryota; Metazoa; Chordata; Mammalia; Primates; Hominidae
Source: Ensembl
CUCUGACCUGUGCGCGGGUGCUGGCAGCCUUGCCGCUCGCUGUGCCAGUGCCCCGCAGGCUCUUUGGCAGUCCAGCAUAGUGGACUACUACGAGGUGCUGGGAGUACCCCGGUAGGCCUCGUCCGAGGGUAUCAAGAAGGCGUACCGCAAGCUGGCGCUCAAGUGGCACCCCGACAAAAACCCCGAGGACAGGGAGGAAGCGGAUUUCGUUCCUUUGGCUCCCUGGGAAGUGGGGGCCUUUCUUCCUUCUGCAUGUCCUACGGUAGUGAUGGGACAGGCAGCUUCAAGUCCAUGUCGACUUCCACUGAAAUAGUUGAUGGUAAAAAAAUCACCACCAAGAGAAUCAUUGAGAAUGGCCAAGAAAGGGUGGAAGUGGAGGAAGAUGGAGAGUUGAGUUAAAGUCCUUCAUAAUAAACGGCAUAGAGCAGUUGCUCCCCAUUGACACCAAGUAAUUCCAGUCCACAUUUGCCUUUAAGCACAUCUGGAGGAAUAGCGGACUUUUUUUAGGAUUGAAAGUGAACUUUACUUUCAGAACAGCUGUACCCAAGAAUUUAUAAACACUUUAUGCCAAUGCCUGUCUUUAUUGUUGGGACUGCACGGAUAGGACCUCUGUUUGUCUUUCGAUCAUUGUAAAUAUCUGUAUGCAAUUUGCUAUUUAUUAAACUUAAGCCUGAGGCAGACAAUGAUUA